Molecule: ribosomal RNA, 773 nt
Filed under: uncultured bacterium
Lineage: Bacteria
Description: bacterial SSU rRNA
Rfam family: Bacterial small subunit ribosomal RNA
Source: RNAcentral
AGAGUUUGAUCAUGGCUCAGGACGAACGCUGGCGGCGUGCUUAACACAUGCAAGUCGAACGGAAAGGCCCUUUCGGGGGUACUCGAGUGGCGAACGGGUGAGUAACACGUGGGUGAUCUGCCCUGCACUUCGGGAUAAGCCUGGGAAACUGGGUCUAAUACCGGAUAGGACUACGGCCUGCAUGGGUUGUGGUGGAAAGCUUUUGCGGUGUGGGAUGGGCCCGCGGCCUAUCAGCUUGUUGGUGAGGUUAUGGCUUACCAAGGCGACGACGGGUAGCCGGCCUGAGAGGGUGACCGGCCACACUGGGACUGAGAUACGGCCCAGACUCCUACGGGAGGCAGCAGUGGGGAAUAUUGCACAAUGGGCGCAAGCCUGAUGCAGCGACGCCGCGUGAGGGAUGACGGCCUUCGGGUUGUAAACCUCUUUCAGUAGGGACGAAGCGAAAGUGACGGUACCUGCAGAAGAAGGACCGGCCAACUACGUGCCAGCAGCCGCGGUAAUACGUAGGGUCCGAGCGUUGUCCGGAAUUACUGGGCGUAAAGAGCUCGUAGGUGGUUUGUCGCGUUGUUCGUGAAAACUCACAGCUUAACUGUGGGCGUGCGGGCGAUACGGGCAGACUGGAGUACUGCAGGGGAGACUGGAAUUCCUGGUGUAGCGGUGGAAUGCGCAGAUAUCAGGAGGAACACCGGUGGCGAAGGCGGGUCUCUGGGCAGUAACUGACGCUGAGGAGCGAAAGCGUGGGGAGCGAACAGGAUUAGAUACCCUAGUAGUCC